Lycium ferocissimum is the source of this 554-nucleotide long non-coding RNA. RefSeq lists it as uncharacterized. The transcript is spliced from 2 exons. Lineage: Eukaryota; Viridiplantae; Streptophyta; Magnoliopsida; Solanales; Solanaceae. The record is from RefSeq and is a predicted model, not a curated record.
ACCGGUAUACAACCACAAAAAAAAAAGAAAAAAAAAGGGAGAAGCAAAAGCCAAGAUAGAUCUAUUUUUUGAUUUGCAGUAUUGAUUGUGAAUAAUGGCGAAGGUGGAGUUAAACAAAGAGACAAAGAAGGCUGUGAAUAGAAAUCACGGUUCCACCAAAUUCUUUGUAUUUGUUGAUUAUCUUUUCCUCUUUCUAUUCUUCUGUUUCCUCUCUUACAUUCUCUUCAAAAUGCUCGGACUUUGAGGUUAAUGAUAAUCUAUAUCCAGAUCAAGAGAUUGCAAGCUCUUAUGACACAGCUGCUGGUUUACGGCAGUUUAAGGAUUGUUUUCAUCUUGGACUGAGAUAUCUAGAAGGAAUGAAGUCUUUGCACUGGUGAUAUAUGUCAAAUUCUUCUGUGCCACAUGACUUACCUAAUUGAUGUACUUAUAUAUAAUAUACAUAUAACAUUGAGUUAGUUUUUUGGAUGUGCCUGAUCACACAAAUUACAUGUGCAUAACACUGAAAUUCUGGUGCUCAAUUGACAACUACUAGUAUCUCCUUUACUGAUCUGAAA